UACGUAGGAGGCGAGCGUUGUCCGGAUUCACUGGGCGUAAAGGGCGCGUAGGCGGCGGCUUGAGUCCCUGCGUGAAAUCUCCCGGCUCAACCGGGAGGGUGCGCGGGAUACUGGGCGGCUUGAGGGCAUCAGAGGAGAGCGGAAUCCCCGGUGUAGUGGUGAAAUGCGUAGAUAUCGGGGGGAACACCAGUGGCGAAGGCGGCUCUCUGGGGUGCACCUGACGCUGAGGCGCGAAAGCGUGGGGAGCGAACCGG
RNAcentral lists this ribosomal RNA (254 nucleotides) under uncultured bacterium. RNAcentral describes it as "partial 16S ribosomal RNA". It matches the Rfam family "Bacterial small subunit ribosomal RNA", at positions 524 to 776 of the family's 1533-position model. The record is from RNAcentral.